RNAcentral lists this long non-coding RNA (1387 nucleotides) under Salvator merianae (Argentine black and white tegu). RNAcentral describes it as "lncRNA (ENSSMRG00000007415.1)". The record is from RNAcentral. Lineage: Eukaryota; Metazoa; Chordata; Lepidosauria; Squamata; Teiidae.
AGCUAUCAUUGUCUAUUCCUCUUAACCACAUUGUUGUUUUCUAGCUACACCAGAAUCCACUUCAGCUCCCAGUGACUUGUACAACUGGGAUGGAGCAGAUGUUCACAAUGUGACUGACCUUCCACAAAGCACAGUGUCAUACACAGUUUUUGACAGUGAACCAACUGAAGAUGAUCUGGUGAGCACUGGAGACACAGAAAGGGCAACAAGGACCACUUCCACGCCAGCUUUGCCUGAAACAUCACAUUCAAGUACAUCAUUGGUUGAUUCUAUCAUUCAGGCUACCAAACCCAGUGAGUCAUCCCCAGGCUGCCCUGUCAGACAACAAACAAUGAAAGAAAAUCAAGAUUGCUGCUAUUCCUCAUCUUCCUUGGAAAAUUUGUCCAAUGCAAUGGAAGGUCUUCGUGGAGAAGUGAUCUCUCUCUCCACAGCCAUUCAGCAACAGGGCUCUCAGCUGGAGGCUGUUUCCCAUAGUCUGGCUCAACUGGCAGCUUCUGUUCACCAUCUAGUAGGGGCACUGCCUGCUUUAACACAGCCAACCGCAGUUCGGUCUUCUUCGUUUCCCUCUAAGCAGGAUGAGGGACAGAUGCAAAACCAGCUGCCCUUGAAAUGAAAAGAACAGUUCCUAAAAAGCAAAGAAGGGACUCAGAAGAGACCAAACAGUUAUCUAAUCAUACCUCUGACAUCGGGUACACCUAAUCCCAAGGUUAACCUAUGCAACUCAGUUAAAUAUGCCAUAAUUAGAGACCUGCUGCACUGCAUUUAGAAGCUGGAAGAGAGCAACAUCUUCAUAAUGUGGGCUGUUCAUUAAUAUCAAUCUGUUUAAAUGCAGUGAACUAGAAAAAAGCGCAGAGAAGUCCUGCAGAUUCCACGAGAUCCAUUGCCUGAUAAUGUCAACCAGGAUUCAUUUUAGUUCUAAUCAAAACCCCCUCUUCACCUGGCUUGUUCUAAGUUGUGCAAGCUCAAAAGGAGUAAAAAACAUUUGCCUGAAAAGUUAAGAAGGCUGGAAAUCUAAAGACUGUUAGUUUUUUAAUAAGUGAGUGUCAAUUUGCACAUCAGAAAUACAGAAUCCACUAUAUUUGAAUAUACCAUUGCAUGAAGAGAAACUCCAAAUCAAAUGAUGUAACGACAAGAUGCACUUCUCUGUACUCCAAAGUCCAUGCGGUAUUGAAAGAUCUUUCAUUGCACAAACAAAACCAACUAUUUUUCUGCAUAUGUUUUGAUGUCACACGUGAUCGUCACUGCUGUGUACAAAUGUUUAGGCUUUUCAAAUAUAAAUAUGUAUUUAAAUACAAACACACACACACACAUGUAUGGAGAGAGAGAGAGACUAUGGAAGCACUGAGACCAACAGCUAAAACAAAAUAAAUACUACAGAGGAAAGACA